RNAcentral lists this ribosomal RNA (306 nucleotides) under uncultured eukaryote. RNAcentral's name for it is "partial 18S ribosomal RNA". It matches the Rfam family "Eukaryotic small subunit ribosomal RNA", at positions 1470 to 1796 of the family's 1831-position model. The record is from RNAcentral.
CCCUUAGAUGGCCUGGGCUGCACGCGGGCUACAAUGGUAUAUUCAGCGUGAGUUGUUUACCGAAAGGUAGAUCAAAUCUUCAAAUUAUACCGUACUUGGGAUUGGACAUUGCAAUUGUUGUCCAUGAACGAGGAAUUCCUAGUAAGUGCAUGUCAUUAGCGUGCGCUGAUUACGUCCCUGCCCUUUGUACACACCACCCGUCGCUCCUACCGAUUGGGUGCUGGGGUGAACAUUGUGGAGAUUUGAGCUUCGGCUUGGUCAAAGCAAUGUGAAUCUUGCCGCCUAGAGGAAGGAGAAGUCGUAACA